AUACGUAGGUGGCGAGCGUUGUCCGGAAUUACUGGGCGUAAAGGGCGUGUAGGCGGGGGGACAAGUCAGAUGUGAAAUACCGCAGCUUAACUGCGGGGCUGCAUCUGAAACUGUUCUUCUUGAGUGUCGGAGAGGAAAGUGGAAUUCCCAGUGUAGCGGUGAAAUGCGUAGAGAUUGGGAGGAACACCAGUGGCGAAGGCGGCUUUCUGGACGACAACUGACGCUGAGGCGCGAAAGCGUGGGGAGCAAACAGGAUUAGAUACCCUGGUAGUCCACGCUGUAAACGAUGGAUACUAGGUGUAGGAUGUAUCGACCCCUUCUGUGCCGGAGUUAACACAAUAAGUAUCCCGCCUGGGGAGUACGGCCGCAAGGUUGAA
This 377-nucleotide ribosomal RNA is filed under the name uncultured bacterium. Its description in RNAcentral is "bacterial SSU rRNA". It matches the Rfam family "Bacterial small subunit ribosomal RNA", at positions 523 to 898 of the family's 1533-position model. The record is from RNAcentral.